UACUGAAUUCUAAUUGAGAUUGUAAAAUGAAACUUGCAGAUUUGAUUGUCUUCUUAGAGUUCAGAGCUCUUUAGUGAUCAGAGCUAUCAGUCUUGUAAAUGGUAUAAGCAAAUGCAAAAUGAAACAAAAAAGUAAAAUAAUUCACAGUGCUGCAAAAUUAGCUCUCUCUGUGCUUGCUUCCCAUUUAGACUAUAUACAUACAAGAGCAAAAUCCACCUGGAAGAAGAAAAAACAAAGUCAAGGUGAAAACAAAAUCUUUCCAACGUCAUUCCUGUGAUGCUUUUUUUCAUAGGAGAGGUUGUCCAGCCCUGUGAUCAUCUUCACAGCCUCCUCUGGACUCAUUCAAACAACUCUGCAUGCUCCUCCAGGUCUGGACACACUACAUCAAUUCCAGUACAAUGUCCAAGUAAGACCAAAAAUAUAUGGAGAGACUUCUGUAAGACUCAUGA
Non-coding RNA from Phasianus colchicus (ring-necked pheasant), 449 nucleotides. Lineage: Eukaryota; Metazoa; Chordata; Aves; Galliformes; Phasianidae. The record is from RefSeq and is a predicted model, not a curated record.